UGGGGAAUAUUGGGCAAUGGGCGCAAGCCUGACCCAGCAACGCCGCGUGAGGGAAGAAGGCUUUCGGGUUGUAAACCUCUGUCCUUGGUGACGAAAAAAAUGACGGUAGCCAAGGAGGAAGCCCCGGCUAACUACGUGCCAGCAGCCGCGGUAAUACGUAGGGGGCGAGCGUUGUCCGGAAUUACUGGGCGUAAAGGGUGCGUAGGUGGCCUUUUAAGUUGGAUGUGAAAUACCCGGGCUUAACUUGGGGGGUGCAUCCAAAACUGGGAGGCUAGAGUGCAGGAGAGGAAAGCGGAAUUCCUAGUGUAGCGGUGAAAUGCGUAGAUAUUAGGAGGAACACCAGUGGCGAAGGCGGCUUUCUGGACUGUAACUGACACUGUGGCACGAAAGCGUGGGGAGCAAACAG
RNAcentral lists this ribosomal RNA (406 nucleotides) under uncultured bacterium. Its description in RNAcentral is "bacterial SSU rRNA". It matches the Rfam family "Bacterial small subunit ribosomal RNA", at positions 355 to 775 of the family's 1533-position model. The record is from RNAcentral.